GCCCCCAUCGUUCAGUGGCCUAGGACACCUGCCUUUCACGCAGGCAACACGGGUUCGAAUCCCGUUGGGGGUG
RNAcentral lists this transfer RNA (73 nucleotides) under Actinomycetes bacterium. RNAcentral's name for it is "tRNA-Glu". It matches the Rfam family "tRNA". Rfam says of the family: Transfer RNA (tRNA) molecules are approximately 80 nucleotides in length. Their secondary structure includes four short double-helical elements and three loops (D, anti-codon, and T loops). The record is from RNAcentral. RNAcentral also lists the same sequence under 3 other names. Lineage: Bacteria; Bacillati; Actinomycetota; Actinomycetes.